Long non-coding RNA from Xiphias gladius (swordfish), 1270 nucleotides. RefSeq lists it as uncharacterized. Lineage: Eukaryota; Metazoa; Chordata; Actinopteri; Istiophoriformes; Xiphiidae. The transcript has 3 exons. The record is from RefSeq and is a predicted model, not a curated record.
GGAAAACACAAGCAGAGGGUUACUGGCUAAGCUGUAAAACUAGAAGCAGUGGGAGGAGUAGGAAGGUGAGAAGGAGUAUUUAACAGUGGCGUUUGGUGACUUUUACAGACAGGUAAGCAGAGCUGAAGAACCAACUAUAAGAUAUUGCUUACAAUUGCGUAAUGUUCUAACUGAUGUCUUUUUGUACCUUUAACUGGUCAAGCACUACUUGCCCUGCUUGUCCUGAUCACACACCAAUGAUAUUUAAGGAUGUUGAAAGAAAAAAGUAAAAGAGGACGAAGAAAGGGGGUAUGGCAAGUCAAACUAGGGCAUCCACAUGGUGACCACAUGUAACUGCAGGUACUAACUCUGUAGUAACAUGACAUUACUACCAUAAAAUAAAAACGAAAUAUGUCCUACAUUAUUGGUCUUUUUUAAUUAAAUAGUCUGUUUAUACCUUUGUUUACAAAAACUGAACAGGCAGUAGAGAGAGAAAGCCAGAAACAAAGGAACAAUGGAAAAUGGAGUAAGAAGGGAAGAUGAAAAAAGGAAAGAAGGAAGGAAAGACAUUUGAUUCAAAACAAGCUUUUUAUCUAAACAGCUUUAAAAGUCAGUAUUUGCUAAAUCCUCUGCCAGCCCCAGAUCUUAUAUAUGACAUUUUUAAAAUGUUUACAGUGACUUAAAACAGAGACCAACCCUUCUGGAAGAGUCAAAAUGAAAGCAUUACAGCUUGCUGUCAUUCUCCUGAUUGUCUGCAUGAGCAGUGCAGUGGCUCUGAAGUGCAACCACUGUAUUCCAUAUUCAGUUGGUGCCCAUUGCACCAACACAGUGGAGACCUGCCAGAGAUUCAAUGAAGUCUGUGCCUCUGUCAUCUUUACAUUUCCCAGUAAGUCAUUUGAGUGAAAAAAGGUUUUUUGCAGUGAAGUCUGGACAGUGCCAGGCUAGCUGUUUCCCCAUUUCUAGUUGGUGAUAACUGUGUCCUGACUCCAGGUCUGAACUUAACAUACAAACGAGAGUGAUAGCAAUCUUCUCAUCUCGCUCUCAGAAAGAAGUACAAAUACAUGCAUAUCCCUAAACAUAUAAUAUAACAAAAAUAUUAACUUCAGCAUGCAUUUCAAAUGAUUUAGAUCUUAUUCCAUUUUGUGUGCUUUAUUUUAAAAUAUUUGCCAUAAAAAGGAAACUAACCAGGUUAAUUUCAUUUCUUUGUGAUCAUUUUGCUGUCUUUACAGUAAUUUUCCAAAAUUGCAAAUCAUUGUGAGACUUUGUGAGUGCCAAGUGUUUUUCAGGAUUU